AGUUUGAUUCUGGCUCAGGACGAACGCUGGCGGCGUGCCUAAUACAUGCAAGUUGAACGCUGAAGACUGGUACUUGUACUAGUUGGAUGAGUAGCGAACGGGUGAGUAACGCGUGGGUAACCUACCUCUUAGCGGGGGACAACUAUUGGAAACGAUAGCUAAUACCGCAUAACAAUCACUAACACAUGUUAGUGAUUUGAAAGCACCAAUUGGUGCACUAAGAGAUGGACCCGCGUUGUAUUAGCUAGUUGGUAGUGUAAUGGACUACCAAGGCGAUGAUACAUAGCCGACCUGAGAGGGUGAUCGGCCACAUUGGGACUGAGACACGGCCCAAACUCCUACGGGAGGCAGCAGUAGGGAAUCUUCGGCAAUGGACGAAAGUCUGACCGAGCAACGCCGCGUGAGUGAAGAAGGUUUUCGGAUCGUAAAACUCUGUUGUUAGAGAAGAACGUUGCAUAGAGUGGAAAAUUAUGCAAGUGACGGUAUCUAACCAGAAAGGGACGGCUAACUACGUGCCAGCAGCCGCGGUAAUACGUAGGUCCCGAGCGUUGUCCGGAUUUAUUGGGCGUAAAGCGAGCGCAGGUGGUUUAAUAAGUCUGAUGUAAAAGGCAGUGGCUCAACCAUUGUGUGCAUUGGAAACUGUUAGACUUGAGUGCAGUAGAGGAGAGUGGAAUUCCAUGUGUAGCGGUGAAAUGCGUAGAUAUAUGGAGGAACACCGGUGGCGAAAGCGGCUCUCUGGACUGUCACUGACACUGAGGCU
This 760-nucleotide ribosomal RNA is filed under the name uncultured Lactococcus sp. RNAcentral's name for it is "bacterial SSU rRNA". It matches the Rfam family "Bacterial small subunit ribosomal RNA", at positions 10 to 753 of the family's 1533-position model. The record is from RNAcentral. Lineage: Bacteria; Bacillati; Bacillota; Bacilli; Lactobacillales; Streptococcaceae.